UUGUUGUGACUAUGAAUUUCCCUUUUUUUUUUGUUCAGUCAUGAAUUACUUUAUUAUCAUAUCUAUAUUCUUUGUUUGUGAGUUCUUUUUGAGGGUUUAAUGUUUCAAGCUGCCUCUGAACUUGCAUUUUGCUUUGAUUGAAGAAAAAUGGCACAGAAAUCCAUAAAUUUUUUCUAUUUCCUUUUAUUAUUGCUUUAAUAGGACAUGUAUAGUCUAGUUGAGUGAAUCAUGUUGUUAGAGUUGUUAGAGUUAGAGUUUUAAGUGAGUGGAGGAGUGGGUUCACUUAUUGUUUUAUGUUUUUUUAAUUUGACUAGUUAUGCUCUAUCAAUUCAAAUCCACACACACACAAAAAAAGAAAGGAGUGAUGAUGUUGGAAUGUUUUCUUGGUUAAUUGAUGUGGUCUGUUUUUAGCUAAACUUGGAUAGUCCCAUAUUUAGAUUAAGCUAACAUUAAUUUUCAGUAUGAGCACUAUUAUUGACAGGUCAUUUUAUCUUUCUGAUAACAUUCUUGAUCACGACAGAUUAUCUCAAUUGAACUUACUUGUAUGUAGAUAUAUUCUUGUCAGACCAAUUUGAACCAAGUUUCUGCAAUAAUAAACCUGAGUGUGAAAAUUACUAAGUAGUUUAGUUGCCAAAUAUAAUCAGAAGACUUUUCUUUAGCUCUAUAUAAGUUUGUUCAAAUUAAUAGGAACUUGAGAUUUCGAGAGUUGUAGUGAACUCUCUUUUGCUUUUUCACCUAAGAUAUGUAUCAUUUGCUUUUGAAUAUUUUUGGUGGUGGGAGUUAUUUCCUUGACCGCGAAAGUGUUGGAAAUUUUGGUUGUUGAUUCAAACUGUGGUGCUGAUCUCUGGCAAUGUGGCUGAGGUACCUUUGAAAUUUGGCUCCAAGUGGCAAUGGAUUUUUGAACGAGAUUUGAUAGAAUUUGUAUUUUAAUAUGUGAUGAUUGCAAUCUUACUUAGUAGUGGUACUUAUACUUGUUGAACAUGCUUUGUUUUUUUAGGCCGAAGGAGCGUUAGUUUCAGAAAAUUUAUGACUAACUGUACUCUACUUGUUCUGAAUGUGGUUUGCUUGAAUGGUGUUACUUUUCUUUGAAUAUAUAUAUAUAUUUAUAUGUAUGAAUCUUUACUGCAAUAGUAGGACCUAUAUAUAUGUAUAUAUAAUCCAAAGCUGUGAUUAUUUCCUGGGUAAUCUAUGUGAUUGUAUAUUCACACAUUUUCUUUGACUGAUGUGUAAUGCAACCAACUUAUCUUGUUGAUUGAUAAAGUACCAUGGUUGAUUGGUGGAGAAGGUGUGUGGACAGAACUGAGUUUGCCAAAUGUAGAAAAAACAAUGGGCUCAGUUUCAGAGAUUACAGAAGAUGAAGUUGAAGAUCGCUUGCAAGAUGCUAUUAAGGAAAAGUUUGUUGUUUUUGGGAUGUAUGUGCUUUUGAUGAUAACUUGUUCAUGUUGCACAGAACUGAUUACUUAUAAAUGUGAUUUUUGUCUUUCUGAUAUGUAAAUUUGGUUUAUUUUUUUAUUGUUGACUGUUGUUGGUGUAAUAAAUUUAUAAAAUCAUUGAAUAAAAAAGUUUAUAAGUUUAUUUCUUUUA
Humulus lupulus (European hop) is the source of this 1584-nucleotide long non-coding RNA. RefSeq lists it as uncharacterized. Lineage: Eukaryota; Viridiplantae; Streptophyta; Magnoliopsida; Rosales; Cannabaceae. The transcript is spliced from 2 exons. The record is from RefSeq and is a predicted model, not a curated record.